GAUGAACGCUGGCGGCGUGCCUAAUACAUGCAAGUCGAGCGAACGGACGAGAAGCUUGCUUCUCUGAUGUUAGCGGCGGACGGGUGAGUAACACGUGGAUAACCUACCUAUAAGACUGGGAUAACUUCGGGAAACCGUAGCUAAUACCGGAUAAUAUUUUGAACCGCAUGGUUCAAAAGUGAAAGACGGUCUUGCUGUCACUUAUAGAUGGAUCCGCGCUGCAUUAGCUAGUUGGUAAGGUAACGGCUUACCAAGGCAACGAUGCAUAGCCGACCUGAGAGGGUGAUCGGCCACACUGGAACUGAGACACGGUCCAGACUCCUAAGGGAGGCAGCAGUAGGGAAUCUUCCGCAAUGGGCGAAAGCAUGACGGAGCAACGCCGCGUGAGUGAUGAAGGUCUUCGGAUCGUAAAACUCUGUUAUUAGGGAAGAACAUAUGUGUAAGUAACUGUGCACAUCUUGACGGUACCUAAUCAGAAAGCCACGGCUAACUACGUG
This 497-nucleotide ribosomal RNA is filed under the name uncultured bacterium. RNAcentral describes it as "partial 16S ribosomal RNA". It matches the Rfam family "Bacterial small subunit ribosomal RNA", at positions 28 to 507 of the family's 1533-position model. The record is from RNAcentral.